UACGUAGGUGACAAGCGUUGUCCGGAUUUACUGGGCGUAAAGAGCGCGCAGGCGGUCGUUCAAGUCGAGUGUGAAAGCCCCCGGCUCAACUGGGGAGGGUCACUCGAUACUGAUCGACUCGAAGGCAGGAGAGGGAAGUGGAAUUCCCGGUGUAGUGGUGAAAUGCGUAGAUAUCGAGAGGAACACCUGCGGCGAAGGCGGGUUGCUGGGCUGACACUGACGCUGAUGCGCGAAAGCCAGGGGAGCAAACGGG
This 253-nucleotide ribosomal RNA is filed under the name uncultured bacterium. RNAcentral's name for it is "partial 16S ribosomal RNA". It matches the Rfam family "Bacterial small subunit ribosomal RNA", at positions 524 to 776 of the family's 1533-position model. The record is from RNAcentral.